RNAcentral lists this long non-coding RNA (412 nucleotides) under Androctonus crassicauda. Lineage: Eukaryota; Metazoa; Arthropoda; Arachnida; Scorpiones; Buthidae. The record is from RNAcentral.
AAUCAGUAUAUAUUAAAUAAAUCAACAUAUGUCGUUUUAUUUUUCAUUAUUAUUUUUAUAACAAAAAAUGGAAAUUUAAAAUUUUUAGCUUUUUGUAAGUUAGUAGUUAUGUUCUUUCUUAGUUUUUGUCUAUUUCGAAAAGGAAUAAAUGCAGCCAUUAUAGAUGUAGGAAAGAGGGCUUGGCACAAUCCUAGCAUUAUCACCACCAAUGGUGUAUUGCGUAUUCUCAACUUAAUUACCAAGGAAAGUAUCUUUUUCCAAGGGACUAUCAAAAGAUCUGGUGAGGAAAAUGCAUCCGAAGAAAAUCAUACCUCAACUCUGAAAGGGCCCCACAUUCACACAAAAUAUGGAAAGGAAUUUCAUCUCCUUGAUAUCAUCUACAGUUGGGACUAUUAGCCAUCCCAAUUAAAUG